This 253-nucleotide ribosomal RNA is filed under the name uncultured prokaryote. RNAcentral's name for it is "partial 16S ribosomal RNA". It matches the Rfam family "Archaeal small subunit ribosomal RNA", at positions 474 to 727 of the family's 1478-position model. The record is from RNAcentral.
UACCAGCACCUCGAGUGGUCAGGACGUUUAUUGGGCCUAAAGCAUCCGUAGCCGGCUUUGCAAGUCUUCGGUUAAAUCCACCUGCUCAACAGAUGGGCCGCUGGAGAUACUACAAAGCUAGGGAGUGGGAGAGGCAGACGGUAUUCAGUGGGUAGGGGUAAAAUCCUCUGAUCCAUUGAGGACCACCAGUGGCGAAGGCGGUCUGCCAGAACACGUUCGACGGUGAGGGAUGAAAGCUGGGGGAGCAAACCGG